GGACGAACGCUGGCGGCGUGCUUAACACAUGCAAGUCGAACGGAAAGGCCCUGCUUUUGUGGGGUGCUCGAGUGGCGAACGGGUGAGUAACACGUGAGUAACCUGCCCUUGACUUUGGGAUAACUUCAGGAAACUGGGGCUAAUACCGGAUAGGAGCUCCUGCUGCAUGGUGGGGGUUGGAAAGUUUCGGCGGUUGGGGAUGGACUCGCGGCUUAUCAGCUUGUUGGUGGGGUAGUGGCUUACCAAGGCUUUGACGGGUAGCCGGCCUGAGAGGGUGACCGGCCACAUUGGGACUGAGAUACGGCCCAGACUCCUACGGGAGGCAGCAGUGGGGAAUAUUGCACAAUGGGCGGAAGCCUGAUGCAGCAACGCCGCGUGCGGGAUGACGGCCUUCGGGUUGUAAACCGCUUUCGCCUGUGACGAAGCGUGAGUGACGGUAAUGGGUAAAGAAGCACCGGCUAACUACGUGCCAGCAGCCGCGGUGAUACGUAGGGUGCGAGCGUUGUCCGGAUUUAUUGGGCGUAAAGGGCUCGUAGGUGGUUGAUCGCGUCGGAAGUGUAAUCUUGGGGCUUAACCCUGAGCGUGCUUUCGAUACGGGUUGACUUGAGGAAGGUAGGGGAGAAUGGAAUUCCUGGUGGAGCGGUGGAAUGCGCAGAUAUCAGGAGGAACACCAGUGGCGAAGGCGGUUCUCUGGGCCUUUUCUGACGCUGAGGAGCGAAAGCGUGGGGAGCGAACAGGGUUAGAUACCCUGGUAGUCCACGCUGUAAACGGUGGGUACUAGGUGUGGGGUCCAUUCCACGGGUUCCGUGCCGUAGGUAACGCUUUUAAGUACCCCGCCUGGGGGAGUACGGCCGCAAGGCUAAAACUCAAAGGAAUUGACGGGGCCCCGCACAAGCGGCGGAGCAUGCGGAUUAAUUCGAUGCAACGCGUAGAACCUUACCUGGGUUUGACAUGGAUCGGGAGUGCUCAGAGAUGGGUGUGCCUCUUUUGGGGUCGGUUCACAGGUGGUGCAUGGCUGUCGUCAGCUCGUGUCGUGAGAUGUUGGGUUAAGUCCCGCAACGAGCGCAACCCUUGUUCACUGUUGCCAGCACGUUAUGGUGGGGACUCAGUGGAGACCGCCGGGGUCAACUCGGAGGAAGGUGGGGAUGACGUCAAGUCAUCAUGCCCCUUAUGUCCAGGGCUUCACGCAUGCUACAAUGGCUGGUACAGAGAGUGGCGAGCCUGUGAGGGUGAGCGAAUCUCGGAAAGCCGGUCUCAGUUCGGAUUGGGGUCUGCAACUCGACCUCAUGAAGUCGGAGUCGCUAGUAAUCGCAGAUCAGCAACGCUGCGGUGAAUACGUUCCCGGGGCUUGUACACACCGCCCGUCAAGUCAUGAAAGUUGGUAACACCCGAAGCCGGUGGCCUAACCGUUGUGGGGGAGCCGUCGAAGGUGGGACUGGU
RNAcentral lists this ribosomal RNA (1440 nucleotides) under uncultured organism. Its description in RNAcentral is "16S ribosomal RNA". It matches the Rfam family "Bacterial small subunit ribosomal RNA". The record is from RNAcentral.